Molecule: non-coding RNA, 72 nt
Organism: Calothrix sp. HK-06
Lineage: Bacteria; Bacillati; Cyanobacteriota; Cyanophyceae; Nostocales; Calotrichaceae
Source: Rfam
GGCUGAGUAGCCAAGUGGGAAGGCGCCGAUCUGCAAAAUCGGUUAGCGUGAGUUCGAUUCUCACCUCAGCCU